CCCCCCUUUACUUACUUGUCUCGAAAAUACGUUGACUAAACGAAUAUAAUAGUAAGUUAGGUUUAAGUCUAAACCAUAUAUUACCUCAUUUUAUCAAAAUUGUUUUCCUUAGUGAAAGUAAGGAAAAUAAGCUAUAUCGAUGACAUUCAACAUUGAUUAUGUUUAAUAAAAUUCUUGACCCAUGUGGUCAUUGAUUUAAAAAAAAAACAUUGAUUAUGUCCCCUUACCCUCGAACACACCUCAUCUUCACCCACACCUCCGUAGCCUCCAUCUCCUCCUCAAGAAAACAUUUUCCUUCGUAUCGAACACGCCCCAUAGUAAUUCUCUCUCAUAUUUUUGUGAGAUUUGCUUAAUCAUGAUACCUACCCCUAUCACACACUUGAAUUUACAUAAUACAAGAGGGCCAAAAUGUUAUUUUUGUGGUUUAAUUAGCAGUAAUAUAUACAGUAAUUAACACACAUCAUUAUAUAUAAAAAUCCAUGUGGGCAUUUUCAUUGUGGUCAAUACAUAGGUCAAAGUUUGGUUCCAAUAUAGUUGCAUACUUGCAUUGACCUCACAAACUCCACACUCCACACCAAACCAACUUAGAUAUGUUUUUUGGAUAAGAAAAGUGUGAACCAUUUUCAUCAAACUACUCACAAUUUUUCUUUAUACAAUUUAUUUAUUUUUGGAACUCGAUAACUCGCCGUCGCUACAACCUCUGCCCUUCGGAUGAGCACUUUGUGCGGAUGUAAACCACACUAGGGAAGCCCUUGCGAUAGGCUCGACUCAGAAGGCAUUGAGGGGGGAUCGAUCCCGAG
RNAcentral lists this long non-coding RNA (800 nucleotides) under Solanum tuberosum (potato). RNAcentral describes it as "long non-coding RNA (STUB_LNC010233)". The record is from RNAcentral. Lineage: Eukaryota; Viridiplantae; Streptophyta; Magnoliopsida; Solanales; Solanaceae.